RNAcentral lists this ribosomal RNA (537 nucleotides) under uncultured bacterium. Its description in RNAcentral is "bacterial SSU rRNA". It matches the Rfam family "Bacterial small subunit ribosomal RNA", at positions 1 to 529 of the family's 1533-position model. The record is from RNAcentral.
UAGAGUUUGAUCCUGGCUCAGGACGAACGCUGGCGGCGCGCUUAACACAUGCAAGUCGAGCGAGAACCGGUCCUUCGGGACCGGGGAAAGCGGCGAACGGGUGAGUAACACGUGGGCAACCCACCCUUGGUACUGGGAUAGCCCGGGGAAACCCGGAUUAAUACCGGAUGGCCCAGCAGCUCUUCGGGGCGGCUGGAAAAGGGAGCUUCGGCCUCCGACCAAGGACGGGCCCGCGGCGGAUUAGCUUGUUGGUGGGGUAACGGCCCACCAAGGCGACGAUCCGUAGCUGGUCUGAGAGGACGAUCAGCCACACUGGGACUGAGACACGGCCCAGACUCCUACGGGAGGCAGCAGUGGGGAAUCUUGCGCAAUGGGCGAAAGCCUGACGCAGCGACGCCGCGUGGGGGAAGAAGGCUCUCGGGUUGUAAACCCCUUUCAGGAAGGACGAAGCUCCUCGGGUGAAUAGCCCAGAGGGUGACGGUACUUCCAGAAGAAGCCCCGGCUAACUACGUGCCAGCAGCCGCGGGCCCAAUCGCC